AGUGAACGCUGGCGGUAGGCCUAACACAUGCAAGUCGAACGGCAGCACAGUAAGAGCUUGCUCUUACGGGUGGCGAGUGGCGGACGGGUGAGGAAUACAUCGGAAUCUACUUUUUCGUGGGGGAUAACGUAGGGAAACUUACGCUAAUACCGCAUACGACCUACGGGUUAAAGCAGUGGAUCUUCGGACCUUUCGCGAUUGAAUGAGCCGAUGUCGGAUUAGCUAGUUGGCGGGGUAAAGGCCCACCAAGGCGACGAUCCGUAGCUGGUCUGAGAGGAUGAUCAGCCACACUGGAACUGAGACACGGUCCAGACUCCUACGGGAGGCAGCAGUGGGGAAUAUUGGACAAUGGGCGAAAGCCUGAUCCAGCCAUACCGCGUGGGUGAAGAAGGCCUUCGGGUUGUAAAGCCCUUUUGUUGGGAAAGAAAAGCAGCAGGUUAAUACCCCGCUGUUCUGACGGUACCCAAAGAAUAAGCACCGGCUAACUUCGUG
This 492-nucleotide ribosomal RNA is filed under the name uncultured bacterium. Its description in RNAcentral is "partial 16S ribosomal RNA". It matches the Rfam family "Bacterial small subunit ribosomal RNA", at positions 29 to 507 of the family's 1533-position model. The record is from RNAcentral.